AUCAUUACUGAAAGAUAGACAAGGNCCAUGCUGGCUCUCUAACCGAGAGUAUGUGCUCGUCUUGUCGUUUUUCUACUCUCCACAGUGCACCUUUGUAGGCUCUAUGAUACCUUUCAGUCUGUAUCAGACUGGUUUGAAGUCUAGCUCACGCUUUUCUUCUACCUUUCGUAGGCCUACGUCUUAUACACACUACAAAAAGUCUAUUGAAUGUCCUUUUGUUGGUUGUAACAGACCAAUAGAACUCUAUACAACUUUCAGCAACGGAUCUCUUGGCUCUCGCAUCGAUGAAGAACGCAGCGAAAUGCGAUAAGUAAUGUGAAUUGCAGAAUUCAGUGAAUCAUCGAAUCUUUGAACGCACCUUGCACCCUUUGGUAUUCCGAAGGGUACGCCUGUUUGAGCGUCAUUAAAUUCUCAAAGACUCCGUUCUUUUUGGAUGGAGUCCUUUGGAUGUGAGGGUUGCUGGUUGUUACCGAUCAGACUCCCUUGAAAUACAUUAGUGGGUAUCCAGUCCACUCAAGUGUGAUAGUCUAUCUACGCUUGCGAUUGGAGUUGGAAUAGACCGCUUCUAACCGUCCGUAUGGACAAUAAGACUCUUGUUGAUACCUUUCAGUCGCAAGACUGGUUGUGAAGUCUGUUAACCCUUACUUCAACCUUUCAAUCUCGAGUCGCUCUUGACAUUUGACCUCAAAUCAGGUGGGACUACCCGCUGAACUUAAGCAUAUCAAUAAGCGGAGGAAAAGAAACUAACAAGGAUUCCCCUAGUAACUGCGAGUGAAGCGGGAAAAGCUCAAAUUUGAAAUCUGGCAGUCCUUGCGGCUGUCCGAGUUG
RNAcentral lists this ribosomal RNA (828 nucleotides) under uncultured Agaricomycetes. RNAcentral describes it as "eukaryotic LSU rRNA". The stretch from base 250 to 403 matches the Rfam family "5.8S ribosomal RNA". The record is from RNAcentral. Lineage: Eukaryota; Fungi; Basidiomycota; Agaricomycetes.